GUUCAGUAACACUAGGUUGAUCAUUGGCGAUUUUCGGCUUAAUGUAAUAAGGAGGAGGAACCAAACUGAGUGGUCUGUCUUUGCUAGGGUUCACAGGCUUUUCUGGAGCUCUUGGUGAUCUAUCAUAAGCAUUGCGGUUUUGUUGUUGCUCGUCUGCGUGAGUUUCAGACUUGCUCCGGUUCAGUCGGGUCAAGGGAUGAGGGACAGAGGC
This 211-nucleotide unclassified non-coding RNA is filed under the name Hevea brasiliensis (rubber tree). The record is from RNAcentral. Lineage: Eukaryota; Viridiplantae; Streptophyta; Magnoliopsida; Malpighiales; Euphorbiaceae.